Molecule: long non-coding RNA, 173 nt
Organism: Hibiscus syriacus
Lineage: Eukaryota; Viridiplantae; Streptophyta; Magnoliopsida; Malvales; Malvaceae
Exons: 2
Source: RefSeq, a predicted model, not a curated record
AAAUUGGUUUCAGGAGCACAGUGCAUUCAGGCCGGACCUCAUACUAAGAAUCAGCAGGUUCUGCAGGAGCCCCCCACAUUUACCAAGAAAAUUCCUUUAUGCACCCAAAAAAGAAAUCUUUGUUUUUUGUUUUUUUAAGCAGCAACAGCACCAACAGCUGGAGCUUUUUGAAU